UAAAACUCAAAUGAAUUGACGGGGGCCCGCACAAGCGGUGGAGCAUGUGGUUUAAUUCGAUGCAACGCGAAGAACCUUACCUACUCUUGACAUCCAGCGAAGCCUUUAGAGAUAGAGGCGUGCCUUCGGGAGCGCUGAGACAGGUGCUGCAUGGCUGUCGUCAGCUCGUGUUGUGAAAUGUUGGGUUAAGUCCCGCAACGAGCGCAACCCUUAUCCUUGUUUGCCAGCACAUAAUGGUGGGAACUCCAGGGAGACUGCCGGUGAUAAACCGGAGGAAGGUGGGGACGACGUCAAGUCAUCAUGGCCCUUACGGGAAGGGCUACACACGUGCUACAAUAGCGCAUACAAAGGGCAGCAAGCCAGCGAUGGUUAGCGAAUCUCAUAAAGUUCGUCGUAGUCCGGAUUGGAGUCUGCAACUCGACUCCAUGAAGUCGGAAUCGCUAGUAAUCGUGGAUCAGAAUGCCACGGUGAAUACGUUCCCGGGCCUUGUACACACCGCCCGUCACACCAUGGGAGUGGGUUGCAAAAGAAGCAGGUAUCCUAACCUUGAAAAAGGAAGGCGCCUACCACUUUGUGAUUCAUGACUGGGGUGAAGUCGUAACAAGGUAACCGUAGGGGAACCUGCGGUUGGAUCACCUCCUUA
RNAcentral lists this ribosomal RNA (643 nucleotides) under Serratia symbiotica. RNAcentral describes it as "bacterial SSU rRNA". It matches the Rfam family "Bacterial small subunit ribosomal RNA", at positions 895 to 1533 of the family's 1533-position model. The record is from RNAcentral. Lineage: Bacteria; Pseudomonadati; Pseudomonadota; Gammaproteobacteria; Enterobacterales; Yersiniaceae.